RNAcentral lists this ribosomal RNA (479 nucleotides) under uncultured anaerobic ammonium-oxidizing bacterium. RNAcentral describes it as "bacterial SSU rRNA". It matches the Rfam family "Bacterial small subunit ribosomal RNA", at positions 364 to 833 of the family's 1533-position model. The record is from RNAcentral.
UUUCGCAAUGCCCGAAAGGGUGACGAAGCGACGCCGCGUGAGUGAGGAAGGCCUUCGGGUUGUAAAGCUCUGUCAGGAGUUAAGAGAUAUAAGUGUGUUAAUACCACAUUUAUUUGACGAAGGCUCCAAAGGAAGCCACGGCUAACUCUGUGCCAGCAGCCGCGGUAAUACAGAGGUGGCAAGCGUUGUUCGGAAUUAUUGGGCGUAAAGAGCACGUAGGUGGGUUUGUAAGUCAGAUGUGAAAGCCUUCUGUUCGACGGAAGAAUUGCAUCUGAAACUGCGAGUCUUGAGUGUAGGAGGGGAGAAUGGAACUUCUGGUGGAGCGGUGAAAUGCGUAGAUAUCAGAAGGAACGCCGGCGGCGAAAGCGAUUCUCUGGCCUAUUACUGACACUCAGUGUGCGAAAGCUAGGGGAGCAAACGGGAUUAGAUACCCCGGUAGUCAUAGCUGUAAACGAUGGGCACUAAGUAGAGGGGUUUUA